This 1144-nucleotide long non-coding RNA is filed under the name Carica papaya (papaya). Its description in RNAcentral is "long non-coding RNA (CPAP_LNC009178)". The record is from RNAcentral. Lineage: Eukaryota; Viridiplantae; Streptophyta; Magnoliopsida; Brassicales; Caricaceae.
GUGAAGAAAGCAAAGAAAGCUCUCCUGAUCAAUUACAGAAAAAAUAGUUCUUUGGCUUGGCUAUCAUACUCAAUAAAGCUUAUUUGCUUGCCUCUUCCAACUUCACCACUGGCGUAUUUAAGGUUGGUGGUCUAUCAUUACUCUAAUUACUUCCAUAUUGUAUUUGUAUAUCUUUUCAUCCAAGCAACUUCCUUUUAGUUUCCUGGGAGUUUGCAUGUUUUCCUGUUUAAUUGUAUCUCUUAUCGGGAAACUGGUGUAUUAAAUAAGUCACCGAACCAACAUAUAUUUGUACCUUUUUCAAGUAACAUGACAUUGCCAAGGCUCAGAGAAAGUACCACCCAUGUAGAGAAGAGAUUCAUGAAAGAUAGUUAGUUCAGACCUUUGACCAAAAUAGUAAGAUCUGGAACCAACAGUAUACAGGCUUCUUCUUUUUUCCUUUAUCCAAAUAAUUCGGAUAAUAGCGAAGGAAUGUGGGGUGCAAGCUUCUUCCUAGCUUUGCAUAAUGGAAUCUUACACUUUCAACUCUUCUGUAUAAUCCACACAACUGAGGUUAGGAAGACUGAGUGCUGAAUCCUGAUAUGUUGUUUUUAUGAUUGAGUUUAAUAAACACCUCGUUGAAAUCUAUAUUUCAUGAGUUUAAAAGUUAACACCAGGCAAAACACGGUCGGUUAACUAGAGUUUUAAAUUACUUCAUUUUUAUAAUGCAGGAACAAUCAAUCUCCAGAGCUUGAAGGAUGUACAGGAACUCAUUUACUCGUUGUGGCUGGGAUAAAAAAAUGUGGAGUGCGUUUUUGGUUAAGUGGCAUUGUUGGUUCCCUAAAAUAACCUUACUUGCCAAAAAGAGAAGUUUGCCAUUAAAUUCGUUUAUGGCAUGGCACACACUGGCCGAUCCUAAAGCUGCAGAUGAGAUUUGAAGUACUCAGCAUUAGUAUAAUAAAUAUCUAUCGUAUGCAAUAUUUAUAUCAACAGGACACUGCAUAUAGAUAUACUGUUGGGCUGCAUCAUAAGGGAGGAGGGAGUAAGUGGGAAUUUGAGUCAGUAGGAUAAUUUGAAAUUUAUUUUGAAAUUUUAGUGAUCAUGAAAAACUUAUGACUUGUGCUUGUAAGAAAAAUAGUUUCGGAACUAAAAGUUUAGUCAUAAAAAU